Molecule: ribosomal RNA, 106 nt
Filed under: Cephalotus follicularis
Lineage: Eukaryota; Viridiplantae; Streptophyta; Magnoliopsida; Oxalidales; Cephalotaceae
Source: RNAcentral
AGGAGUGACCAUACCAGCACUAAUGCAUGGGAUUCCAUCAGAACUCCGCAGUUAAACGUGCUUGGGCCAGAAUAGUUCUAAGAUGAGCAGACAGUAUUCAAUUUCC